UCCGAGGGUGAACACUGCGUAAUUUACAACCGGCGCGUGUAUAAUAAUAUUAUACACUUAAAAACUUAAAAUAUGAUUCGGAUACGGGAUUAUAACAGCAGCAAAAGGAGCGCUUUAACAAAUUAUGCACAUGGUAACAGAAUUGAACGCGUCACUUAAAUGUUGUACAAUUUAACAUGUCAAGCGCGCAUUAUUACGAAAUCCUGUUGAAAUACUUCAUUAAAUCGCUGGCAUGUGAAUUCGAUUUCUAUAGACUCGUCGGCUGGACACAAACACAUCGGUUGCAUUAAUCCACAUCAAGUUCAAAGAAAUUGUUAUUAUUUAUCAUACAGCCAUUCAGUUAAAUAUUGUUGAUAUGACCUUGUGCUUCCUCAACAAUGCAUAGAGUCAUCUUACAUGGUCAAUUUAGGAUUUUCAGAUAUUAAUCACGCGAACAAAGAAUAUACAAAUCUUCAGGAAUACGUUAGCAGCGAACACCGCUGUAAUAAAAUACGGAAAAUCCCACGUCGCGCGGGGAAACGCAACACUAGAACUGAAAAAAUUGAACCAUCGGACAGCGGACAGUAAUAUUAUUAAGCACUCGAUUUUGGUACGUCACAGUGACUUCACUCGGCUCGCGCGUUAACCGGACCACGCGCGAUAUCGCUGCGUCGAGCUCACCU
Long non-coding RNA from Rhopalosiphum padi (bird cherry-oat aphid), 662 nucleotides. RefSeq lists it as uncharacterized. The record is from RefSeq and is a predicted model, not a curated record. The transcript has 3 exons. NCBI's taxonomy places the organism in Eukaryota, Metazoa, Arthropoda, Insecta, Hemiptera, Aphididae.